Molecule: ribosomal RNA, 457 nt
Filed under: uncultured Pelotomaculum sp.
Lineage: Bacteria; Bacillati; Bacillota; Clostridia; Eubacteriales; Desulfotomaculaceae
Description: bacterial SSU rRNA
Rfam family: Bacterial small subunit ribosomal RNA
Source: RNAcentral
AAGCGGUGGAGCAUGUGGUUAAUUCGACGCAACGCGAAGAACCUUACCAGGGCUUGACAUCCCCUGACCGCGUAUGAAAGUACGUUUUCACCCUCGGGUGACAGGGAGACAGGUGGUGCAUGGUUGUCGUCAGCUCGUGUCGUGAGAUGUUGGGUUAAGUCCCGCAACGAGCGCAACCCCUACGUUUAGUUGCUAACGCGUGAAGGCGAGCACUCUAGACGAACUGCCGUUGACAAAACGGAGGAAGGUGGGGAUGACGUCAAAUCAUCAUGCCCCUUAUGUUCUGGGCUACACACGUGCUACAAUGGCCGGUACAGACGGACGCAAAGCCGCGAGGUGGAGCAAAUCCUAAAAAGCCGGUCUCAGCUCGGAUUGCAGGCUGCAAUUCGCCUGCAUGAAGUCGGAAUCGCUAGUAAUCGCAGGUCAGCAUACUGCGGUGAAUACGUUCCCGGGCCUU